RNAcentral lists this ribosomal RNA (435 nucleotides) under uncultured bacterium. RNAcentral's name for it is "partial 16S ribosomal RNA". It matches the Rfam family "Bacterial small subunit ribosomal RNA", at positions 29 to 507 of the family's 1533-position model. The record is from RNAcentral.
AGCGAACGCUGGCGGCAGGCUUAACACAUGCAAGUCGAGCGGGCAUCUUCGGAUGUCAGCGGAAGACGGGUGAGUAACACGUGGGAACGUACCCUUCGGUUCGGAACAACUCUGGGAAACUGGAGCUAAUACCGGAUACGCCCUUAUGGGGAAAGGUUUACUGCCGAAGGAUCGGCCCGCGUCUGAUUAGCUAGUUGGUGGGGUAACGGCCUACCAAGGCGACGAUCAGUAGCUGGUCUGAGAGGAUGAUCAGCCACACUGGGACUGAGACACGGCCCAGACUCCUACGGGAGGCAGCAGUGGGGAAUAUUGGACAAUGGGCGCAAGCCUGAUCCAGCCAUGCCGCGUGAGUGAUGAAGGCCUUAGGGUUGUAAAGCUCUUUUGUCCGGGACGAUAAUGACGGUACCGGAAGAAUAAGCCCCGGCUAACUUCGUG